UAGAGGGGGGUAGAAUUCCAGGUGUAGCGGUGAAAUGCGUAGAGAUCUGGAGGGAAUACCGGUGGCGAAGGCGGCCCCCCUGGACAAAGACUGACGCUCAGGUGCGAAAGCGUGGGGAGCAAACAGGAUUAGAUACCCUGGUAGUCCACGCCGUAAACGAUGUCGAUUUGGAGGUUGUGCCCUUGAGGCGUGGCUUCCGGAGCUAACGCGUUAAAUCGACCGCCUGGGGAGUACGGCCGCAAGGUUAAAACUCAAAUGAAUUGACGGGGGCCCGCACAAGCGGUGGAGCAUGUGGUUAAUUCGAUGCAACGCGAAGAACCUUACCUGGUCUUGACAUCCACAGAACUUAGCAGAGAUGCAUUGGUGCCUUCGGGAAC
Molecule: ribosomal RNA, 377 nt
Filed under: Klebsiella sp.
Lineage: Bacteria; Pseudomonadati; Pseudomonadota; Gammaproteobacteria; Enterobacterales; Enterobacteriaceae
Description: bacterial SSU rRNA
Rfam family: Bacterial small subunit ribosomal RNA
Source: RNAcentral